GAUGUGAAGCAGCUGUCUGAUCUUGUGGAGAGUCCACACUGUAGACUGGAGACUCUGAGAUGGAAGUGGAGGUUGUCGUGAUCUCUAACCACCAUCAUCCCUGUGUGUUCCUCUGGACCUGACAGAGUAUCAUCAGUGUAUCUGGACUCUGUCCUUCUGCACAGUCUCUGCAGACACACUGAGACUCCUCCACUCCUUCUGCUCCACACUCAACCACCUCCUCCACCUGGACCUGGGUUUCACUUUGUCUUCAUUCAUUCAUAUAUUCUGAACCCAAAGUGCCUCUGCAGAUCAGUUCUGUUUAUGACAACAGAACUGUAGAUUAACACAUUUAAAUAGAUGUUUCUGCUUUGCUUUCUGUUGCAGCUCCACCCUGUGGAACGAUGGAGUUCUGCAGUUAAUUUCCACAUACUACUAAAUAUAUAUAUACCAUAUACAAUAUAUAUACCAAUACCAGCCGUUUUUCAUAUUAUAACAGAUUUGCUUGUAACAAACAGAAAGAAGUAGAUAAAACCUGAACCUGAGGCUUCAGUUUCUCAACUAACUACAAACAGAUUAUGUCUGGAUUUUGGUGGAAAGUCAGCUCCUUAAUAUUGUCUUUUGUAUGUGAUGUUUGAUGUAAAACAAAA
Long non-coding RNA from Sebastes umbrosus (honeycomb rockfish), 629 nucleotides. RefSeq lists it as uncharacterized. The transcript has 2 exons. NCBI's taxonomy places the organism in Eukaryota, Metazoa, Chordata, Actinopteri, Perciformes, Sebastidae. The record is from RefSeq and is a predicted model, not a curated record.